ACCUAAAUUCAGUGGCAGUAUCGUAGCCAAUGAGGUUUAUCAGAGGUGCGAUUAUUGCUAAUUGAAACCUUUUCCCAAUACCCGGCCGUGAUGACUUGCAAUACAGUCAGCACUGGCAAUUUUUUUUUUUUUUUUUUUUUGAGA
Sapajus apella (tufted capuchin) is the source of this 144-nucleotide small nuclear RNA. RefSeq annotates it as U4 spliceosomal RNA. Lineage: Eukaryota; Metazoa; Chordata; Mammalia; Primates; Cebidae. The transcript has a single exon. The record is from RefSeq and is a predicted model, not a curated record.